This 1088-nucleotide long non-coding RNA is filed under the name Heterocephalus glaber (naked mole-rat). RNAcentral describes it as "lncRNA (ENSHGLG00100046287.1)". The record is from RNAcentral. Lineage: Eukaryota; Metazoa; Chordata; Mammalia; Rodentia; Bathyergidae.
CUGUGAAUGGAGCGGGAAAUAACUCACAUUUAAGCGAAAUGCAAAUGAAAACCAAUGCCCUUGGGGGUCUGUGCUCCGUACCUACAGUGAUUGCCACACCCUUCCUUUCUGCACCUCUCGGUGUUGCUGGGAAAAUGUGGGACCUUCCUGCCCUAACCCGAUCGUUGUCGUACCCGCUUUUUGCGCUCCACUCUUCAGACCUUGACCGCUGUCCACUGCCUGCCUCUUGCACGCUGCGGAGGGUUCCACAGGCGAUGCAAUGCACAGGGCCCUGGAUAGAAGGCCUGGACUCUCGCUCCCCUGCUUGGGUUCCCUUUCAGCCCUGCCGCCGCGUGUGCUCCACUCCCAUCCUACCCCUUGUAGCCAGCAGAGGGCCCCGGGGCGCCAAGGGGCAGGUAUGCGUUUACCCCCCUCCCCUCCGAAGGACACCUGCUUUCCUGCCGGCUGCGCUCUCAAAACCUGAGCUGCUGUUUGGGAGGUGACAUUGUGGGGAAGCUUCAGCGUUUUGUUUAUGUUUUUAUCCCCCCUUCUCCGGUAGAGAGCUGUUGGCCAGAAAGGCUCUUCUGGAUUAGGUGGAAGGGCAGUUGGGGCCGCCACAUGAGCCAUUCUAGAGCAAGAGAAAUUUAGAGUUCAGGCAAGGACACAGCUCUGCAUGAGUCACUGAGCUGCCUGGGAUAAGAAACAAUUUGAGAGUUCGAACACUGUAGAGUACUAGGCUGCCAUCAAAAGGACCACUGUAGCAUCGUGGGUGCUGUGUGAUGUAUACAAAGGGAGAAAAGGCAAGGUACACAGCAGUGUGCAGAGUAUGUGAACAGCUACCAAGGAUAAACAUGUCCGGAAUCCAGUCAGUCCUCACAAUGCUACUGCUCUAAGCCUGGCGGGGUCACCAAAGCGUCUGGAUUAUUCUCACUACCUCCUGAGAGGUCUCUCUCUCUUUGCUUUUUUGGGGACAGGGUCUCACUGUGUAGAUCAGGCUGGCCUUGAACUCACUAUGUAGCCCAGGCUGGCCUCCAACUUGCAUUGAUCCUCCUGCCUCAGCCUCCUGAGGGCUGCAAUUACAGGCCAGGAGAUCUCUUACAUUCUUUUUU